This 385-nucleotide ribosomal RNA is filed under the name uncultured bacterium. RNAcentral's name for it is "bacterial SSU rRNA". It matches the Rfam family "Bacterial small subunit ribosomal RNA", at positions 30 to 416 of the family's 1533-position model. The record is from RNAcentral.
AUUGAACGCUGGCGGCAUGCCUUACACAUGCAAGUCGAACGGCAGCACGGGAGCAAUCCUGGUAGCGAGUGGCGAACGGGUGAGUAAUAUAUCGGAACGUGCCCGGUCGUGGGGAUAACGUAGCGAAAGCUACGCUAAUACCGCAUACGAUCUACGGAUGAAAGCGGGGGAUCGCAAGACCUCGCGCGAUUGGAGCGGCCGAUAUCAGAUUAGGUAGUUGGUGAGGUAAAGGCUCACCAAGCCGACGAUCUGUAGCUGGUCUGAGAGGACGACCAGCCACACUGGGACUGAGACACGGCCCAGACUCCUACGGGAGGCAGCAGUGGGGAAUUUUGGACAAUGGGCGCAAGCCUGAUCCAGCAAUGCCGCGUGCAGGAUGAAGGCC